Medicago truncatula (barrel medic) is the source of this 97-nucleotide microRNA precursor. It matches the Rfam family "MIR2587 microRNA precursor family". The record is from Rfam. NCBI's taxonomy places the organism in Eukaryota, Viridiplantae, Streptophyta, Magnoliopsida, Fabales, Fabaceae.
GUGUCAUGGUCAUUGUUGACCGUUCAUACGACCCUUGCAAUUACUUUGCAGCUUAUGUGGGGGGGGUUAUAUAACGAUCAACAGAGACCAUUGACAU